Molecule: ribosomal RNA, 446 nt
Filed under: uncultured bacterium
Lineage: Bacteria
Description: partial 16S ribosomal RNA
Rfam family: Bacterial small subunit ribosomal RNA
Source: RNAcentral
CCUACGGGUGACAGCAGUCGAGAAUCAUUCACAAUGGGGGAAACCCUGAUGGUGCGACACCGCGUGGGGGAAUGAAGGUCUUCGGAUUGUAAACCCCUGUCAUGUGGGAGCAAAUUAAAAAGAUAGUACCACAAGAGGAAGAGACGGCUAACUCUGUGCCAGCAGCCGCGGUAAUACAGAGGUCUCAAGCGUUGUUCGGAAUCACUGGGCGUAAGGCGUGCGUAGGCUGUUACGUAAGUCGUGUGUGAAAGGCGCGGGCUCAACCCGCGGACGGCACAUGAUACUGCGAGACUAGAGUAAUGGAGGGGGAACCGGAAUUCUCGGUGUAGCAGUGAAAUGCGUAGAUAUCGAGAGGAACACUCGUGGCGAAGGCGGGUUCCUGGACAUUAACUGACGCUGAGGCACGAAGGCCAGGGGAGCGAAAGGGAUUAGAUACCCCGGUAGUC